This 93-nucleotide vault RNA is filed under the name Salmo salar (Atlantic salmon). Its description in RNAcentral is "Vault RNA (ENSSSAG00000002227.2, ENSSSAG00020071601.1, ENSSSAG00070014848.1, ENSSSAG00075064207.1)". It matches the Rfam family "Vault RNA". From Rfam's summary of the family: This family of RNAs are found as part of the enigmatic vault ribonucleoprotein complex. The complex consists of a major vault protein (MVP), two minor vault proteins (VPARP and TEP1), and several small untranslated RNA molecules. The record is from Rfam by way of RNAcentral. Lineage: Eukaryota; Metazoa; Chordata; Actinopteri; Salmoniformes; Salmonidae.
ACGCUGGUUUAGCUCAAUGGUUACUUCAACACAAAUCCAUUUUCAAGGUCCGCGGGCCAGAAGUACGAACCACGGGCGCUGUCCUGCGUUUUA